Drosophila persimilis is the source of this 605-nucleotide long non-coding RNA. RefSeq lists it as uncharacterized. The transcript has 3 exons. Lineage: Eukaryota; Metazoa; Arthropoda; Insecta; Diptera; Drosophilidae. The record is from RefSeq and is a predicted model, not a curated record.
GUGCCUCGGAUAUUUUCGCGCACCGAACCAAAAAUCGAGCUUUAAUGGCUCCAUCGAAGAAAUUAAAGAACCUGCCGGCUAUGCCAUAUGAGGUGCAACGCGACCAAGCUGCGGAUGAAGAUGGAGCGAAAGACUAUGGAUGAGUAUGCCAGGCUACUACUACCACAAUGCCUUCUACAAGGACCCAAGGUCCGAAGGCGACACCAGUUUAAGGUACGCGCUUGUCCCCAACGAACGAAGGACAAGUUGCUCAGUAUGCCAAAAGCGGAAGAGGAUGAUUCGCCCGAAGAGUUUCAGCAUGAAUAGGCAAAAUUGGGAAAGUUAUUUUCUCCGGUAACCUUCUACGCCUUUGCAAAGUACGCGGACAAGGAAACAAAACCGAAACAAAUAAGCACGGAAGAAGUCAAGCCUUCUACAUAUAUUCCCUGAGGCAAAUCCUGCUUUUAUGGCGAAGUUGCUAGCAUCUGGCUAUCCCGUUAACGAAACAGCAGUCAAGUUUUUAGCGGAGUAUGGUCGGAGAGGCAUAGGGAUCCGUGUACGUCGGACCAGAUAGAGCUACGUCGGAGCUCAGUUAAAGGUUGAGCUGGCCAACGCUUUCAGCAAUC